Molecule: long non-coding RNA, 1114 nt
Filed under: Heterocephalus glaber (naked mole-rat)
Lineage: Eukaryota; Metazoa; Chordata; Mammalia; Rodentia; Bathyergidae
Description: lncRNA (ENSHGLG00000050606.1)
Source: RNAcentral
CUCAGGUCCUUGCACUUGCAUAGCAGGUGGCGAAACCACUGAGCUAAAUCCCCGGCCCAUACUCUUCCUUCUUGUAUCCCCUUUUUUCCUACACUACUCGAAACUUAUGUUUACCACGUCCAUGAAUUUAUUUAUAUUUUUACGACAUCCACACGCUCACUCAGUGACUCACAGACUUGCUGUGUGGCUUGGGAUGUGGCGUGCAGUGUUACUAUGCACACACCCCUCCCUGAUUUGCUGAUUUUUCACUGCUCUUUCUCUUCGUGACCCUCGGUAGCUUUGUUGUGUGCACCAGUGAAUGAAUCACGUUCACACUGAGCCAUUACAUCACGGUUUAUGUUUUCCAUUCUCCUGAUGAUGGGUGUGUAGUUUGUUUCUGAUUUUCCUCUGCUGAAACCCAUGCUGCGGUAAACACCUCUCCAUACACGUCUGGUAUGCAUGUGGAGAGUUUCUUCAGCAGUGUGUGUAGGAGUGACCUUGCCGGGUCUCUGGGAAGGCGCAUACUUGAGUUUAUUAGAUCAUGCCAAACCAUUUCCUGGGCCACUUGCAUUAAUUUACAUUCCUCCGGCUGCCAGCGAGCCCCGUUGCAGCAUAGCCUCAGCUCCUGUGAUACCGUCAGACUUUUGUUCUUUGCCAAUCUGAUAAAAUUUAAAAGGUCUGUCAUUGCGGUUUUUAUUUGCAUGUCUCUCUUCACUGUGAAGUUAGGCGCUUUAUGUUCCCGACAUAGCACUUACUUCGGUCUGACUUCCUAAACCCGCACCUUUCCGCUUCCCCACCAUCUCCUGAAAUAUGAGUUACUACAGCCCCAGACACCACUUCUUGGUGCUGUCGCCUGGUGGAGAAACACUUCCACGGGCGUCCUGUGGGGCGAAGCAGCAGUGUUCACAGCAAGCCUGCAGCAAAGAUCCGUGACCCCCGUUUUUCAGAUGCGGAAACAGAGCGUCAGAGAAGCUGCCAGGUCCAGAGGACAGCACUGUUCCCGUUUCAGAGGUGGUAACUGAGGUCAGCGACUGAUCAGAGAGGAGCUCUCGUGCUCCAAGACCCACUGGCUUCAGAUUCUGGGCUCUUUUCUCCACUCCUCAAUACCAAGUAUCUUUGGUGGCAAGCAACAGAG